AAAUUUAAAAGUUGAGAGUUGAAAAGAUCUGACUAAUGGGCUGCAAUCCGAUAGACAGGAAUGUCAUAUAGAAACCCAAAUUUCCCUUGGACUUUAAAACCACACAACAAUCAAUAUACAAAUAGAAAGUUGAAGAGCAAGGCAUCAAAUAAAGAUAGCCACGUCCAAGCUUAGCAACUCCAUGAUCUUCUUCCAGUUUUGCCCAUGUAGCAAAUGAAUUUCAAGAUGGCACAAAUCACAGGUUCA
This 246-nucleotide long non-coding RNA is filed under the name Lathyrus oleraceus (garden pea). RNAcentral describes it as "Pisum sativum (pea) long non-coding RNA (PSAT_LNC034551)". Lineage: Eukaryota; Viridiplantae; Streptophyta; Magnoliopsida; Fabales; Fabaceae. The record is from RNAcentral.